This 253-nucleotide ribosomal RNA is filed under the name uncultured bacterium. RNAcentral describes it as "partial 16S ribosomal RNA". It matches the Rfam family "Bacterial small subunit ribosomal RNA", at positions 524 to 776 of the family's 1533-position model. The record is from RNAcentral.
UACGUAGGGGGCUAGCGUUGUCCGGAUUUAUUGGGCGUAAAGAGCGUGUAGGCGGCCAGGUAGGUCUGCUGUGAAAACUCGAGGCUCAACCUCGAGACGUCGGCGGAAACCAUCUGGCUAGAGUCCGGAAGAGGAGAGUGGAAUUCCUGGUGUAGCGGUGAAAUGCGCAGAUAUCAGGAAGAACACCCGUGGCGAAGGCGGCUCGCUGGGACGGUACUGACGCUGAGGCGCGAAAGCGUGGGGAGCGAACAGG